CAAAAUGCGACACCCGAUGUCCGCGCCCAGCAUGGUAAUUUAGAACGUGUAGAAAAGCAGUCAUUUCUUGCUUUUAUUUUGUUGUCGAGAAGUUAGAGUGGCUAUUCUAUUUUAGGAAAUGCUGUUAAGUUAAACUUCCUCGCUGGGGAAACGUCUGCAAUACAUCUAUUACGACUGAUGGUGUUCCGGAUAAGGAAGCUGGACUACCUCAAGCAGAAACCAAGGAAUCUAUGUCUUCAAUCAAGGGCGUCUCACAUCUCUCCAAGCGAGCUAAGAGACGUUUGUAUUGUAAAUUGUAGCUGUGGAUGUGGCGGAAACAGAGAGAAGUACUUUUGGAAUUUAAUUGGAGGCAGAAAAUUGGUGCCAAUAUGGCGUACCAGAUCAUGCCUCAACAUCACAAACAUCCUACCCUCCGGGCACCAUCAUCCAAACCACAAGCAUGGAACCAGAAAGUGUUGCAGAGUUUGAAUUUGCAGUCCCCUCCAAAAUAACACUCAUUGGAUUGUCAUCUCAAGAAACAAAGAAACUGUGGUUGUUGUCAGAAGCUUGUUGAUGACCAAUCAACACAAGUGCAAGAGCCGUCAGCGGCGCGCACGCAUUGUUGACAAAGGACGAGUGAUGGAUUUAAUGAAUUGGAGUGACGCAGAUGGUUUUAUUAACGUGUUAUUUAUGUAAUAGUUUUUUUAAUAACUCUGAAUUUUACGUCAGGGCCGUUCUCAGCUCUUAGUUUGUGUUGUUGCCACAGUAGCAUAGCUAUCGUUUAGCCUGUUGUUCCUCGUUCUUGACUGUUCUUGGUGUUUGAUUUUGUCGAAUAAAUUGCCCCCUAAAAUGCGACUUAUAUUCCGGAGCGACUUAUAUAUGUUUUUUCCGCUUUUUUGGGCAUUUUAUGGCUGGUGCGAUUUAUACUCCGGUGCGACGUUUAGUCCGAAAAUUACGGUAAGUUUGAAAACAAACAGUUGCACCUGUGAAGUUAAGUAGUUCAGAGAAGGUCACCUAUACAAAUGUUAUUUUUGCAAUUUUGGUUCACCCAAAGCCUCUAAGUCUCAAAAUGUUGAGAAUAUAUUUGCAUUGCCUGUGUUCGUAAUCUCUCUAGAAUUUCUUCAUGACUUCUUCACAAUGUAUGGAACCUUCAUCCCACUGCAAAAACGUGAUGUGCUGAGACACCUGAAGAGGAUGUUUAACACUGGUUUCAAUGACUGGUGAAUAUCUGAAAGCAAACAAAUAAAAUACUUUAUUUUAAUGACACACAGAUCCACAAUUACGUUAUUGUUUGUUCAUUCAAUUUUAAAUAUGCCUAGUUAGUUUUUUUGCAGGAGAAAAUCCAUCUAUGAGGUUGUAAAGUGCAAAAUCUCUCAAAUGUGGAAACCCAUUCCCUCCUUCCGAGUGGUCUUUAAAAAACACACCCUGACCCUGGAUGAUUUGACCACGCUGGCCUAUCAGAACUGGCUCAAUGACCAGGUUUCAUGUGCUUAGCGUCUCAAAUUUCACUUUACUGAGCAGAGCAAUUCUUGGAACAUGCACCGUCCUUUGUUUCUCUUUCUCCUCCUGUAGGUCAUAAACAUGUAUGGGGAAUUGAUUAUGGAGGCUGCUCAACACAAGGUCCAUUUUUUCAACAGUUUCUUCCACCGACAGCUCAUGACCAAGGGUUAUUGCGGUUGUCAAGUGGCAUGGUGGUACGAGAUGGUGUAAAAUUAGGUUGAUUUGUUCUCCAAGAGUCUCCUGUUGGUGCCCAUCCAUCUGGAGGUUCACUGGUGUCUGGUAGCCACAGAUGUCGUGAGAAAGAAGAUCUGUCUGUUUGACUCUCAAGGGAAUGAACUGCUCGACGUUGUACAGAACAUCCUGAACUACUUGAUCGUAGAAGCUAGAGAGAAACGACGCACGUCUUUCAUAAAUGGUUGGACCAUGUCACUAGAAGAGAAUGUGCCACAGCAAACCAAUGAGAAUGUGGCGUUUUUGUCUUGGAGCUACUUUCCCCCAGUCUGUAUUCCAGAUCCCUUGCCUUGGCUCAGCCACUCCACUUUUCACAGAAAAACAUACCGUAUUUUGCGCCCUAUUAGGCGCACCGGGUUAUAAGGCGCACCUUCAAUGAACGGCCCAUUUCAAAACUUUGUCCAUAUAUAAGGCGCACCGGACUAUAAGGCGCAUAAAAUAGAAGCUUUACUGCAACAAACUGAGGUUGACUAGGGUUGCGGUAUGCACCCACUAGCCAAUAACCAACGAGCACUCUGUAAACAAUCGCGUUUCUCAAACGAUCUCCUAUAAAAUGAUUGGAACUGACUAAAGUUCGAUCUAACGCAUUGGUACUACUUACCUAUGUUUCCCUUCCAUAUCGAUCGGUAGAUUUACUCAAAACAUUAAGAGAGCAGCCUAUUUUGACAUGAAAUAGCCUCGCGCGUAUAGCAGCUAUCGUUAUAGAUUUAGCCAUCCGCAAUUUCCCAUGAGCCUCAGCUCGCAAUCUCCCAUGAGCCUUAGCAAAGUGUAAACAAUCGCGUUUCUCCAACGAUCUCCUAUAAAAUGAUCGGAACUGACUAAAGUUUGAUCUAACGCAUUGGUACUACUUACCGUAAAUUCCGGACUAUAAGCCGCGACUUUUUUCCAAAAUUUUGAAUCCUGCGACUUAUAGUCAGGUGCGGCUUAUAUAAGGAUUUUUUUCGUGAUUUUUGUGAUGACUUGAUCACUUUUAUACACUGCGGUAUCUAUCUUGAAGAAAAAAACAACAACAAAAAUACUAUUUUGAAACACUACUAUGGCUGCUGCUUAUUCUGGCUGUGUUGCUUGUGACUAUUAUGAGCUUUAGUAGGAAUGCACGCUAGGUGACCUGCGUCAAAGGGCUCUAAACCCUUCGUCACAGGCAGUGUUUAGAACAGUGCUUCUCAAAUAGUGGGGCGCGCCCCCCAAGGGGGGCGCGGUGCUAUUCCUGGGGGGGCGCGUGUGACCCUGGGGAACAGGCUUUUUUUUUGGCAGUACUAGAAUAAAGUGUAAUUGCGUGUUUACUACAGCAGGGGGCAGUGGCGCUCUCAUUGUUACUUCUGUCACGUUUGCGACAGUGCAACAUUUUACGACUUACAAGACAAGUUAGGAUAGUCACGGUGGGGAGGGGGGGCGCGAAUAGUUUUCUUCUUGCUAGGGGGGGGCGUAACAGAAAAUAAUUGAGAAGCACUGGUUUAGAAAGACAUGUUAAAGUAUGUUAUGAAAACUUUAAAAAGGCUUUCUGUGAACGGUCUUUCCUUGUAAAAAGACGCGUGUGCACGUGCGGCUUAUAGUCCGGUGCGGCUUAUAUAAGAAAAAAACUAAAAUAUCCCCCAAUUUUAGCUGGUGCGGCUUAUAGUCCGGUGCGCCUUAUAGUCCGGAAUUUACGGUACCUAUGUUUCCCUUCCGUAUCGAUCCGUAGAUUUACUCGAAACAUUAACAGAGCAGCCUAUUUUGACAUGGAAUAGCCUCGCGCGUAUAGCAGCUAUCGUUAUAUCAUUAGCCAUCCGCAAUUUCCCAUGAGCCUCAGCUCGCAAUCUCCCAUGAGCCUCAGCAAAGUGUAAACAAUCGCGUUUCUCAAACGAUCUCCUAUAAAAUGAUCGGAACUGACUAAAGUUCGAUCUAACGCAUUGGUACUACUUACCUAUGUUUCCCUUCCAUAUCGAUCCGUAGAUUUACUCGAAACAUUAACAGAGCAGCCUAUUUUGACAUGAAAUAGCCUCGCGCGUAUAGCAGCUAUCGUUAUAGCAUUAGCCAUCCGCAAUUUCCCAUGAACCUCAGCUCGCAAUCUCCCAUGAGCCUCAGCAAAGUGUAAACAAUCGCGUUUCUCAAACGAUCUCCUAUAAAAUGAUCAGAACUGACUAAAGUUCGAUCUAACGCAUUGGUACUGCUUACCUAUGUUUCCCUUCCAUAUCGAUCCGUAGAUUUACUCGAAACAUUAACAGAGCAGCCUAUUUUGACAUGAAAUAGCCUCGCGCGUAUAGCAGCUAUCGUUAUAGCAUUAGCCAUUCGCAAAAUCCCAUGAGCCUCAGCUCGCAAUCUCCCAUGAGCCUCAGCAAAGUGUAACCAAUCGCGUUUCUCAAACGAUCUCCUAUAAAUUGAUCGGAACUGACUAAAGUUUGAUCUAACGCAUUGGUACUACUUACCUAUGUUUCCCUUCCAUAUCGAUCCGUAGAUUUACUCGAAACAUUAACUGAGCAGCCUAUUUUGAAAUGAAAUAGCCUCGCGGGUACAACAGCUAUUCGGUGACGCCCCCUGACUACAGUUACCCUAAUGUUGGGAAGCGAUGCGACCUUGUAAUUUACUAGUCGUACUAAAACGUACUAAAACAUUUUGGCAGAGCACUGUGUACAACCAGUAUGGAUCAACAAAUUCAUCAAUUGAUCCAUAUAUAAGGCGCACCGGACUAUAAGGCGUACUGUCGACUUUUGAUAAAAAUUUAGGUUUUUAGGUGCGCCUUAUAGGGCGGGAAAUACGGUACCUGGGAUACGCAAGCCGAUCUACAAGGAGCUUUGUGAAUGUAACCUCAAAGAACAGGCUCAACAAUGACAAACUGCUCACAAAAAACAAAUGAAAUUUCAGGAUGGAUGAAAACUGAACUUUAUUUGGCCUUUAUUAUUUAUUUAUUUAUUUAAACUUUAAACUAUUAUUUAUUUAAACUUUAUUGUGCAAAUGUUCAAGAGUUUAGUAAGAGUGGCUUCAGAAGAUGUAAAAGAGAGACUGAAAGAGUUAUAGAAGAGCUCAUACAUAGUUUUAGAUUCAUCCUAAUAUUAAAUUAAAUAAUCAUAAAUAAUAAUGUAAAAUUUCAUGAGUUUGAGCAUUUCAAAAUCAUCCUUGCAGUUGCAGCUGUAUUGCAGUGUAGCCUCGAACGCAUCUUGUCUCACGUUGUAAUAACCAAGGCUGCCUUUUAGAAAUGUGAAAUCUGGGCCUGACUAUGACUGCUUGCUUGAAAUAGCAUGAUGUCCUUUUCCUGUUUGACUUGACCAAGUGAGCAUAAAUAUACGACCGCUUAACAUUGAAGAUUUUGUUCCUACAUUUUUGGGUUGAUUUUUGUAUUCUGUUUUUGUGUCCUUUGUGCAUCUUUUAAAAAGAAAUGAACUCAGUUGUGGCGGCUCCACCGAGCACUGGCUAGCACGUCCGCCUCACAGUAAGGAGGGUGCGGGUUCGAUUCCACCUCCGACCCUCCCUGUGUGGCGUUUGCAUGUUCUCCCCGUGUCCACGUGGGUUUUCUCCGGGCACUCCGGUUUCCUCCCACAUCCCCAAAAACAUGCUUGGUAGGCUGAUUGAGCGCUCCAAAUUGCCCCUAGGUGUGAGUGCGUGUGCGGAUGGUUGUUCGUCUCUGUGUGCCCUGCAAUUGUGCCUUGUGUGUGUUUGUUGUUGUUGUUGUCUAUUAUAUAUCUGUAUGUUGUUCAAAAUGUACGGAUAUCUGGCCAAUAUCUGAUACUUAUGGGAAACCAGGCCCCCUAUUAAAAGCUUUAAAUAGCUUGCUUGGGGUGACCUUUCACGCAUCCGUAAUACUGUUUGUUGUUUCAUGUUGUAUGUCUUGGAUAUUGCGUGAAUAAACUCAAACUCAAUUGGCUGGGAACCAGUUCAGGGUGUCCCCCGCCUACUGCCCGAUGACAGCUGGGAUAGGCUCCGGCAAGCCCGCGACCCCUGUGGGGAUAAAGCGGUACAGAAAAUGGAUGGAUGGAUGAACUCAGUUGAUGUUUUUUUCAAAAGCAUCGAACGUUGGGUACACGUCAGUUAGACAGUAUUUGUUCAUGUUAGCCAAACGGUUGGAAGCCCUUACAUUUCUUGUCGCUCAGUGGAUAGGGGGCUCAAAAGGUACUUUUUAUUCUUUAUGGAAUAUUGCAAUAGAAGCUGAGUGCUGUGUUGUAUGGAUGUAAAAGUGGAAAUUGAAGUAUUUUUCUUUUGUUGGUCAAGUGUUACAGAAUUUCAUAAAAAUAAGACAUUUACAUGGA
Syngnathus typhle (broad-nosed pipefish) is the source of this 5930-nucleotide long non-coding RNA. RefSeq lists it as uncharacterized. NCBI's taxonomy places the organism in Eukaryota, Metazoa, Chordata, Actinopteri, Syngnathiformes, Syngnathidae. The record is from RefSeq and is a predicted model, not a curated record. The transcript is spliced from 7 exons.